GAUGAACGCUGACAGAAUGCUUAACACAUGCAAGUCAACUUGAACUUCGGUUUGGGUGGCGUACGGGUGAGUAACGCGUACAGAACUUGCCUCACAGCUAGGGACAACAUUUGGAAACGAAUGCUAAUACCUGAUAUUAUGAUUAUAUGGCAUCGUAUAAUUAUGAAAGCUAUAUGCGCUGUGAGAGAGCUUUGCGUCGCAUUAGCUAGUUGGAGAGGCAACAGCUCACGAAGGCGAUGAUGCGUAGCUGGCCUGAGAGGAUGAUCAGCCACACUGGGAGUGUGACACGCCACAGACUCCUAGGGGAAGCAGCAGUACGCAAUCGGGGACAAUGGGUGGGAAAUUGUGGACGAGGGACCGAGAGGCUGAUGAAGCAAUUCUGUGUGCAAGAUGAAGUUUUUCGGAAUGAAAAGUGGUUUCAGUUGAGAAGAAAAAAAUGACGGUACCAACAGAAGAAGUGACGGCUAAAUACGUG
RNAcentral lists this ribosomal RNA (475 nucleotides) under uncultured bacterium. Its description in RNAcentral is "partial 16S ribosomal RNA". It matches the Rfam family "Bacterial small subunit ribosomal RNA", at positions 28 to 507 of the family's 1533-position model. The record is from RNAcentral.